GCGCCUGUAGCUCAGCUGGAUAGAGCAUCAGCCUUCUAAGCUGAUGGUCGCGCGUUCGACUCGCGCCAGGCGCACCA
RNAcentral lists this transfer RNA (77 nucleotides) under Pedosphaera sp. RNAcentral's name for it is "tRNA-Arg". It matches the Rfam family "tRNA". Rfam says of the family: Transfer RNA (tRNA) molecules are approximately 80 nucleotides in length. The record is from RNAcentral. Lineage: Bacteria; Pseudomonadati; Verrucomicrobiota; Pedosphaerae; Pedosphaerales; Pedosphaeraceae.